RNAcentral lists this ribosomal RNA (467 nucleotides) under uncultured bacterium. RNAcentral's name for it is "partial 16S ribosomal RNA". It matches the Rfam family "Bacterial small subunit ribosomal RNA", at positions 28 to 507 of the family's 1533-position model. The record is from RNAcentral.
GACGAACGCUGGCGGCGUGCUUAACACAUGCAAGUCGAACGGAAAGGCCCUGCUUUUGUGGGGUGCUCGAGUGGCGAACGGGUGAGUAACACGUGAGUAACCUGCCCUUGACUUUGGGAUAACUUCAGGAAACUGGGGCUAAUACCGGAUAGGAGCUCCUGCUGCAUGGUGGGGGUUGGAAAGUUUCGGCGGUUUGGGAUGGACUCGCGGCUUAUCAGCUUGUUGGUGGGGUAGUGGCUUACCAAGGCUUUGACGGGUAGCCGGCCUGAGAGGGUGACCGGCCACAUUGGGACUGAGAUACGGCCCAGACUCCUACGGGAGGCAGCAGUGGGGAAUAUUGCACAAUGGGCGGAAGCUGAUGCAGCAACGCCGCGUGCGGGAUGACGGCCUUCGGGUUGUAAACCGCUUUCGCCUGUGACGAAGCGUGAGUGACGGUAAUGGGUAAAGAAGCACCGGCUAACUACGUG